Molecule: ribosomal RNA, 301 nt
Filed under: uncultured bacterium
Lineage: Bacteria
Description: partial 16S ribosomal RNA
Rfam family: Bacterial small subunit ribosomal RNA
Source: RNAcentral
CAGUAGCCACGGGAAUACAGAGGGUGCGAGCGUUAAUCGGAUUUACUGGGCGUAAAGCGUGCGUAGGCGGCUUUUUAAGUCGGAUGUGAAAUCCCUGAGCUUAACUUAGGAAUUGCAUUCGAUACUGGGAAGCUAGAGUAUGGGAGAGGAUGGUAGAAUUCCAGGUGUAGCGGUGAAAUGCGUAGAGAUCUGGAGGAAUACCGAUGGCGAAGGCAGCCAUCUGGCCUAAUACUGACGCUGAGGUACGAAAGCAUGGGGAGCAAACAGGAUUAGAUACCCGGGUAGUCCCUUCUCUUAUACA